UAAAGCGUGCGCAGGCGGUUUGUAAGUCUGUCGUGAAAUCCCCGGGCUCAACCUGGGAAUGGCGAUGGAGACUGCAAGGCUAGAGUUUGGCAGAGGGGGGUAGAAUUCCACGUGUAGCAGUGAAAUGCGUAGAUAUGUGGAGGAACACCGAUGGCGAAGGCAGCCCCCUGGGUCAAAACUGACGCUCAUGCACGAAAGCGUGGGGAGCAAACAGGAUUAGAUACCCUUGU
This 230-nucleotide ribosomal RNA is filed under the name uncultured bacterium. RNAcentral describes it as "partial 16S ribosomal RNA". It matches the Rfam family "Bacterial small subunit ribosomal RNA", at positions 561 to 791 of the family's 1533-position model. The record is from RNAcentral.